GGACGGGUGAGUAACGCGUGAAGAUCUACCUUCAGGGUCGGGACAACCACUGGAAACGGUGGCUUAUACCGAAUGUGCCGAGAGGUGAAAGGCUUGCUGCCUGAAGAAGAGCUUGCGUCUGAUUAGCUAGUUGGUGUGGUAAAGGCGCACCAAGGCGACGAUCAGUAGCUGGUCUGAGAGGAUGAUCAGCCACACUGGGACUGAGACACGGCCCAGACUCCUACGGGAGGCAGCAGUGGGGAAUUUUCCGCAAUGGGCGAAAGCCUGACGGAGCAAUACCGCGUGAGGGAGGAAGGCUCUUGGGUUGUAAACCUCUUUUCUCAGGGAAGAAAAAAAUGACGGUACCUGAGGAAUAAGCAUCGGCUAACUCCGUGCCAGCAGCCGCGGUAAUACGGAGGAUGCAAGCGUUAUCCGGAAUGAUUGGGCGUAAAGGGUCCGCAGGUGGCAUUGUUUGUCUGCUGUUAAAGAGUCACGCUCAACGUGAUCAAAGCAGUGGAAACUACAAAGCUAGAGUAUGGUCGGGGCAGAGGGAAUUCCUGGUGUAGCGGUGAAAUGCGUAGAUAUCAGGAAGAACACCGGUGGCGAAGGCGCUCUGCUAGGCCAAAACUGACACUGAGGGACGAAAGCUAGGGGAGCGAAUGGGAUUAGAUACCCCAGUAGUC
RNAcentral lists this ribosomal RNA (662 nucleotides) under uncultured Dolichospermum sp. Its description in RNAcentral is "bacterial SSU rRNA". It matches the Rfam family "Bacterial small subunit ribosomal RNA", at positions 100 to 795 of the family's 1533-position model. Lineage: Bacteria; Bacillati; Cyanobacteriota; Cyanophyceae; Nostocales; Aphanizomenonaceae. The record is from RNAcentral.